This 253-nucleotide ribosomal RNA is filed under the name uncultured bacterium. Its description in RNAcentral is "partial 16S ribosomal RNA". It matches the Rfam family "Bacterial small subunit ribosomal RNA", at positions 524 to 776 of the family's 1533-position model. The record is from RNAcentral.
UACGUAGGGUGCGAGCGUUGUCCGGAAUUAUUGGGCGUAAAGAGCUUGUAGGCGGUUUGUCGCGUCUGCUGUGAAAAUCCGGGGCUCAACCCCGGACUUGCAGUGGGUACGGGCAGACUAGAGUGUGGUAGGGGAGACUGGAAUUCCUGGUGUAGCGGUGAAAUGCGCAGAUAUCAGGAAGAACACCUAUGGCGAAGGCAGCUCUCUGGGACGGUACUGACGCUGAGACGCGAAAGCGUGGGGAGCGAACAGG